Long non-coding RNA from Entelurus aequoreus (snake pipefish), 455 nucleotides. RefSeq lists it as uncharacterized. Lineage: Eukaryota; Metazoa; Chordata; Actinopteri; Syngnathiformes; Syngnathidae. The record is from RefSeq and is a predicted model, not a curated record. The transcript is spliced from 3 exons.
CCCUCAUUGAGUCCUGGUGGCCCUCGGCUGCACCACAAGGAUCACAUGACCACUGGUUUGAAGACUUCUUUUCCUCUGUUUUGCCAUCAGAUAACUUCAAGCAGAACUUGGACAAAUCUUCAGUCAGCAGGGCCGCCAUGAGUUGGUGCAACAGAGCAGCCUGCCUGAGACAAAGUGAUCUGAGGCGCACAAACUCCUGGUGAAGUUGUCUGUAGGCGUCCUCCAUCGCGGCUCACCACCUCCACCAGAACAAUGGAAGAUAAAUGAUGAUGACAUUCAUGACAGCCAGAGUGACCAGGGCAUUCACACCACAAAGUCGCCCCCAGGUCCGGACGAGGAUGACAAGACCAGCAAUGUACAACAAUUCCUUUAUUUCUCUGUUGUAUCAUAUCUCGUUAUUACUUCCGUCUGUCAUCAGAUUCAAUUGUUUUGUCAUCUUAUUUUGUAAAUAUAUU